Molecule: ribosomal RNA, 508 nt
Filed under: uncultured Glaciecola sp.
Lineage: Bacteria; Pseudomonadati; Pseudomonadota; Gammaproteobacteria; Alteromonadales; Alteromonadaceae
Description: bacterial SSU rRNA
Rfam family: Bacterial small subunit ribosomal RNA
Source: RNAcentral
AGCAGCAGCGGUAAUACGGAGGGUGCAAGCGUUAUCCGGAAUCAUUGGGUUUAAAGGGUCCGCAGGCGGUCAAUUAAGUCAGAGGUGAAAUCCCAUAGCUUAACUAUGGAACUGCCUUUGAUACUGGUUGACUUGAGUUAUACGGAAGUAGAUAUUCGGUGGAACACCAGUGGCGAAGGCGGCUAACUGGACUGGUACUGACGCUGAGGUGCGAAAGUGUGGGUAGCGAACAGGAUUAGAUACCCUGGUAGUCCACACCGUAAACGCUGUCUACUAGCUGUUUGUGGAUUUAAUCCGUGAGUAGCGAAGCUAACGCGAUAAGUAGACCGCCUGGGGAGUACGGCCGCAAGGUUAAAACUCAAAUGAAUUGACGGGGGCCCGCACAAGCGGUGGAGCAUGUGGUUUAAUUCGAUGCAACGCGAAGAACCUUACCUACUCUUGACAUACUAGAAACUUUUCAGAGAUGAAUUGGUGCCUUCGGGAAUCUAGAUACAGGUGCUGCAUGGCU